CAGGUUCAAAUCACAGGUGUAGACC
Molecule: microRNA, 25 nt
Filed under: Equus caballus (horse)
Lineage: Eukaryota; Metazoa; Chordata; Mammalia; Perissodactyla; Equidae
Description: eca-miR-9013
Source: miRBase by way of RNAcentral